This 205-nucleotide ribosomal RNA is filed under the name uncultured bacterium. RNAcentral describes it as "partial 16S ribosomal RNA". It matches the Rfam family "Bacterial small subunit ribosomal RNA", at positions 1288 to 1500 of the family's 1533-position model. The record is from RNAcentral.
UCAGUUCGGAUCGGAGUCUGCAACCCGACUCCGUGAAGCUGGAUUCGCUAGUAAUCGCGCACCAGCCAUGGCGCGGUGAAUACGUUCCCGGGCCUUGUACACACCGCCCGUCAAGCCAUGGGAGCCGGGAGCGCUUGAAGUGCGUCGCCGCGAGGCGCGCCCUAGAGCGAGACCGGUGACUGGGGCUAAGUCGUAACAAGGUACC